GGUGGCCUCUAUGGCACCUCGUAGUGGUGCUGGGGACAGCGGCGCGGGGACAGCGGCAGUGCUCGGCGCUGCCUCCAGCUGCUCCCAGUCCAUCCACACUGGGAUGCAGUGGUUGGGCUGCGGGAGGCUCAGACCAAGCAGAUGAUGGGGAUGGCACCCAUGUGGGAUGGGGACACCACAGAGAUGGGAUGGGGACACCACAUAGAUGGGAUGGGGAUACCAUGUAGAUGGGAUGGGACACCACAGAGAUAGGAUGGGGACACCACAGAGAUGGGAU
Molecule: long non-coding RNA, 277 nt
Filed under: Gallus gallus (chicken)
Lineage: Eukaryota; Metazoa; Chordata; Aves; Galliformes; Phasianidae
Source: RNAcentral